This 178-nucleotide non-coding RNA is filed under the name Gammaproteobacteria bacterium. RNAcentral's name for it is "6S RNA". It matches the Rfam family "6S / SsrS RNA". Rfam says of the family: E. coli 6S RNA was the first non coding RNA to be sequenced, but its function was unknown until recently. It consists of 184 nucleotides that fold into an extended hairpin structure with a large single-stranded internal bulge. The 6S RNA specifically associates with RNA polymerase holoenzyme containing the sigma70 specificity factor. Lineage: Bacteria; Pseudomonadati; Pseudomonadota; Gammaproteobacteria. The record is from RNAcentral.
AGCUCCCUUGAGCAUUUGCCAGUCAAAAGUGUUCUUGAGCCGAUAUUUGUAAACCCGGAGGCAACUCGUUAGAUGUUGUUGUGCAUGUCCGCACGUCGGAAAGCCUUAUACAUCGCGGGAGCCACCACCUGAACCCUUCGGUUCAGGGCAAGUUUGGUAGCGGUGUUCCGGGGGGCUU